RNAcentral lists this ribosomal RNA (270 nucleotides) under uncultured bacterium. Its description in RNAcentral is "partial 16S ribosomal RNA". It matches the Rfam family "Bacterial small subunit ribosomal RNA", at positions 32 to 295 of the family's 1533-position model. The record is from RNAcentral.
AAUCAACGCUGGCGGCGUGCCUAACACAUGCAAGUCGAACGAGAAAGUGGAGCAAUCCAUGAGUAAAGUGGCGACCGGGUGAGUAACACGUGACUAACCUACCCUAGAGUGGGGGAUAACCUCGGGAAACCGGGGCUAAUACCGCAUAACAUCACGAGGGGAAGAUCCUUGUGAUCAAAGGAGCAAUUCGCUCAAGGAGGGGGUCGCGGCUGAUUAUUGCCAGUUGGCGGGGUAACGGCCCACCAAAGCUAAGAUCAGUAGCCGGCCUGA